Molecule: long non-coding RNA, 294 nt
Organism: Pollicipes pollicipes
Lineage: Eukaryota; Metazoa; Arthropoda; Thecostraca; Pollicipedomorpha; Pollicipedidae
Exons: 3
Source: RefSeq, a predicted model, not a curated record
CGUGACAACUCCCGCUCAGCACCGCGACAUACAGCACCAAUAAUGCGCGUCGUUAUCCUCUGCCUUCUGGUGGCCUACGCCGCCGCCCAGAACUCUUACCAGCCAGCGCCCACACCCAAAACUUGCUCAAAGACCUGCCCUGAAAACAGCGAGUGCGAAAUCCAGUCGUGCGAGGUGUGCGUGCCAAGUAAGCAGACCCCACCCCUGGCACACCCCUCCAGAGUCCGGACCAAGCAAACAUACCCCACCCCUGGCCAAGCUCUCUAGAUUCCCUGCCUAGUAAGCAGACCCACC